Molecule: ribosomal RNA, 484 nt
Filed under: uncultured Sulfurihydrogenibium sp.
Lineage: Bacteria; Pseudomonadati; Aquificota; Aquificia; Aquificales; Hydrogenothermaceae
Description: bacterial SSU rRNA
Rfam family: Bacterial small subunit ribosomal RNA
Source: RNAcentral
GCGCGAACGUUGGCGGCGUGCCUAACACAUGCAAGUCGUGGGGCAGCAGGCUACUGUCUUUUGGCAGUAGUGCUGGCGACCGGCAAACGGGUGAGUAACACGUAGCUUACCUACCCAUAGGUUGGGGAUAACAUCCCGAAAGGGGUGCUAAUACCCAAUAAUGAGGAGACUCCAAAGCCCUUAUGGGCGCCUAUGGAUGGGGCUGCGUCCCAUCAGCUAGUUGGUGAGGUAAUGGCUCACCAAGGCUACGACGGGUAACCGGUCUGAGAGGAUGACCGGUCACAGCGGGACUGAGACACGGCCCGCACCCCUACGGGGGGCAGCAGUGGGGAAUAUUGGGCAAUGGCCGAAAGGCUGACCCAGCAACGCCGCGUGGUGGAUGAAGCCCUUCGGGGUGUAAACACCUUUUCUGGGGGAAGAUAAUGACGGUACCCCAGGAAUAAGGGACGGCUAACUACGUGCCAGCAGCCGCGGUAAUACGUAG